RNAcentral lists this ribosomal RNA (497 nucleotides) under uncultured bacterium. Its description in RNAcentral is "partial 16S ribosomal RNA". It matches the Rfam family "Bacterial small subunit ribosomal RNA", at positions 28 to 507 of the family's 1533-position model. The record is from RNAcentral.
GAUGAACGCUGGCGGCGUGCCUAAUACAUGCAAGUCGAGCGAACAGACGAGGAGCUUGCUCCUCUGACGUUAGCGGCGGACGGGUGAGUAACACGUGGAUAACCUACCUAUAAGACUGGGAUAACUUCGGGAAACCGGAGCUAAUACCGGAUAAUAUAUUUAACCGCAUGGUUCAAUAGUGAAAGACGGUUUUGCUGUCACUUAUAGAUGGAUCCGCGCCGCAUUAGCUAGUUGGUAAGGUAACGGCUUACCAAGGCGACGAUGCGUAGCCGACCUGAGAGGGUGAUCGGCCACACUGGAACUGAAACACGGUCCAGACUCCUACGGGAGGCAGCAGUAGGGAAUCUUCCGCAAUGGGCGAAAGCCUGACGGAGCAACGCCGCGUGAGUGAUGAAGGUCUUCGGAUCGUAAAACUCUGUUAUUAGGGAAGAACAAAUGUGUAAGUAACUAUGCACGUCUUGACGGUACCUAAUCAGAAAGCCACGGCUAACUACGUG